UUCCGUUUAUUUCGGAACCCCGAGUUGGAUUUAUGGUUACUUAGUCCCUUGGGUGGUUGUGAUCAGUUUAGAGACCGGAAUCCAAUAUAGUUGAUGUUCAGAUGUCUUGGAGGAUGGCACUGUGAUUUGCAUUCAUGCAUCUGCAUCAUUCCCAUUUUGCAUUUAUCCACAUCUAACUCAUGUUUAUCCAUAUGCAGGGUACAUUCUUGAUUGAGAUCCUGGUUGAGAGGCAUCCUUGUUCCAGAUAUGAGGACCGACUUGAAAGCUGAUGUUGUCUACCGUUUC
This 285-nucleotide long non-coding RNA is filed under the name Lathyrus oleraceus (garden pea). RNAcentral's name for it is "Pisum sativum (pea) long non-coding RNA (PSAT_LNC021345)". The record is from RNAcentral. Lineage: Eukaryota; Viridiplantae; Streptophyta; Magnoliopsida; Fabales; Fabaceae.